RNAcentral lists this ribosomal RNA (247 nucleotides) under uncultured Herbaspirillum sp. RNAcentral describes it as "partial 16S ribosomal RNA". It matches the Rfam family "Bacterial small subunit ribosomal RNA", at positions 796 to 1041 of the family's 1533-position model. Lineage: Bacteria; Pseudomonadati; Pseudomonadota; Betaproteobacteria; Burkholderiales; Oxalobacteraceae. The record is from RNAcentral.
CACGCCCUAAACGAUGUCUACUAGUUGUCGGGUCUUAAUUGACUUGGUAACGCAGCUAACGCGUGAAGUAGACCGCCUGGGGAGUACGGUCGCAAGAUUAAAACUCAAAGGAAUUGACGGGGACCCGCACAAGCGGUGGAUGAUGUGGAUUAAUUCGAUGCAACGCGAAAAACCUUACCUACCCUUGACAUGGAUGGAAUCCCGAAGAGAUUUGGGAGUGCUCGAAAGAGAACCAUCACACAGGUGC